AUGCUGCCGGCUGGCGUCAAGUUUGAUCCCACGGAUCAGGAGCUGAUCGAGCACCUUGAGGCCAAAGUGAGUGCUGACAGCGCAAGAUCUCACCCUCUUAUCGAUUUGUUCAUACCAACCAUCAACAACGAGCAUCACAUAUGCUACACCCAUCCUGAGAAACUUCCAGGUAUCACACUGAGUGGCCUAAGCAAGCAUUUCUUCCAGUGCAAUUCCAGGGCAUUCAAAAGGGGCACGUGGACGCGUCGCAAGAUACAGUCGGAGUGCGGCAUGCACGCGAUGUGGCACAAGACCGGCAAUACCUUGCCGGUGAUGGUCAACGGCCGGCAGACGGGCAGCAAAAAGGUUCUGGUGCUGCACACCAACAAGAACUUCGACCAGCAGAGGACCAACUAG
RNAcentral lists this ribosomal RNA (396 nucleotides) under Triticum aestivum (bread wheat). RNAcentral's name for it is "partial small subunit ribosomal RNA". Lineage: Eukaryota; Viridiplantae; Streptophyta; Magnoliopsida; Poales; Poaceae. The record is from RNAcentral.